This is a non-coding RNA of Picea glauca (white spruce), 118 nucleotides long. Lineage: Eukaryota; Viridiplantae; Streptophyta; Pinopsida; Pinales; Pinaceae. The record is from Rfam.
AUGUACACGCGUACAAUUUUAAUGCCCCAAAUCCCAUCAAAACUCCAUAGUUAAGCAUGCUUGGGUUAGAGUAGUACUGGGAUGGGUGACCUCCCGAGAAGUCUUAGUGUUUUACAUG